Auriculariales sp. MPI-PUGE-AT-0066 is the source of this 85-nucleotide non-coding RNA. The record is from the annotation of a GenBank genome assembly. Lineage: Eukaryota; Fungi; Basidiomycota; Agaricomycetes; Auriculariales.
GCCCGGUUAGCUCAAUCGGUAGAGCGUGAGACUCUUAUCAUAAUUGGACAUCUCAAGGCUGCGGGUUCGACCCCCGCAUUGGGCU